This 450-nucleotide ribosomal RNA is filed under the name uncultured bacterium. RNAcentral's name for it is "bacterial SSU rRNA". It matches the Rfam family "Bacterial small subunit ribosomal RNA", at positions 889 to 1342 of the family's 1533-position model. The record is from RNAcentral.
CAAGGUUGAAACUCAAAGGAAUUGACGGGGACCCGCACAAGCGGUGGAUGAUGUGGUUUAAUUCGAUGCAACGCGAAAAACCUUACCUACCCUUGACAUGCCAGGAACCUCGCAGAGAUGUGGGGGUGCCCGAAAGGGAGCCUGGACACAGGUGCUGCAUGGCCGUCGUCAGCUCGUGUCGUGAGAUGUUGGGUUAAGUCCCGCAACGAGCGCAACCCUUGCCAUUAGUUGCUACGAAAGGGCACUCUAAUGGGACUGCCGGUGACAAACCGGAGGAAGGUGGGGAUGACGUCAGGUCCUCAUGGCCCUUAUGGGUAGGGCUACACACGUCAUACAAUGGCCGGUACAGAGGGCUGCCAAAGCGCGAGCUGGAGCCAAUCCCAGAAAACCGGUCGUAGUCCGGAUCGCAGUCUGCAACUCGACUGCGUGAAGUCGGUAAUCGCUAGUAAU